This 492-nucleotide ribosomal RNA is filed under the name uncultured bacterium. RNAcentral's name for it is "partial 16S ribosomal RNA". It matches the Rfam family "Bacterial small subunit ribosomal RNA", at positions 29 to 507 of the family's 1533-position model. The record is from RNAcentral.
AGUGAACGCUGGCGGUAGGCCUAACACAUGCCAGUCGAACGGCAGCACAGUAAGAGCUUGCUCUUACGGGUGGCGAGUGGCGGACGGGUGAGGAAUACAUCGGAAUCUACUUUUUCGUGGGGGAUAACGUAGGGAAAAUUACGCUAAUACCGCAUACGACCUACGGGUGAAAGCAGGGGAUCUUCGGACCUUGCGCGAUUGAAUGAGCCGAUGUCGGAUUAGCUAGUUGGCGGGGUAAAGGCCCACCAAGGCGACGAUCCGUAGCUGGUCUGAGAGGAUGAUCAGCCACACUGGAACUGAGACACGGUCCAGACUCCUACGGGAGGCAGCAGUGGGGAAUAUUGGACAAUGGGCGCAAGCCUGAUCCAGCCAUACCGCGUGGGUGAAGAAGGCCUUCGGGUUGUAAAGCCCUUUUGUUGGGAAAGAAAAGCAGCAGGUUAAUACCCCGCUGUUCUGACGGUACCCAAAGAAUAAGCACCGGCUAACUUCGUG